Molecule: ribosomal RNA, 332 nt
Filed under: uncultured Glomeromycotina
Lineage: Eukaryota; Fungi; Glomeromycota
Description: eukaryotic LSU rRNA
Source: RNAcentral
CAGUCAUACCAACGGGAAAUCAACCUUUUGAGCUUGAUUUCGUGGGUUUUGAAGAGUUUUAAAGCCUUCGGAUUCGCGAGAUUGGGAUCUCUCGGUGUACUUUCUCGUACGGUUAGUCAACAUCGGUUUUGAAUGUCAUAAAAUGACUGGAGGAAUGUAGCUUCGAUCUCGUAUUGAAGUGUUAUAGCCUUUGGUAGAUGUGAUGUUUGAGACCGAGGAUUGCAACGGAUACCCUUCAGGGCUAUUCGUCUGAUCUCUGAUACGUUGCCUUGAUGUUGAAAGCUUGCUUAUGAUGUUAGGGUAUUACGGUCAAAAGGUUAGAACGAAUUACA